RNAcentral lists this transfer RNA (71 nucleotides) under soil metagenome. It matches the Rfam family "tRNA". From Rfam's summary of the family: Transfer RNA (tRNA) molecules are approximately 80 nucleotides in length. The record is from RNAcentral. RNAcentral also lists the same sequence under 1 other name.
UGCGGGGUCGUCUAAUGGCAAGACGCGUGCCUCUGGAGCACGUUAUCGGGGUUCGAGUCCCUGCCCCGCAG